RNAcentral lists this ribosomal RNA (852 nucleotides) under uncultured archaeon. Its description in RNAcentral is "bacterial SSU rRNA". It matches the Rfam family "Archaeal small subunit ribosomal RNA", at positions 21 to 859 of the family's 1478-position model. The record is from RNAcentral.
CCCGACUGCUAUUUGGGUGAGGAUAAGCCAUGCGAGUCGAAUGGGAUACCUAAAUUUCCCAUGGCGAACUGCUCAAUAACACAUGAUCAACUUACCCUAUAGAGAAAAAUAACCUCGGGAAACUGAGGAUAAUGUUUCAUAGUUGAAAAGGCUUGGAAAAGUUUUUCGACCAAAGGGAUAAGAAAAAUGGUUUUUAUCCGCUAUAGGAUAGGAUCGUGGUCGAUUAUGGUCGUUGGUGAGGUAAUGGCUCACCAAGCCGAUAAUCGAUAGGGGCCGUGAGAGCGGGAGCCCCGAGAUGGGUACUGAGACAGCGACCCAGGCCUUACGAGGCGCAGCAGGCGCGAAACCUCCGCAAUACACGAAAGUGUGACGGGGUUACCCAAAGUGUUCAAUUUUGAACUGUGGUAGGUGAGUAAUGUUCCCUACUAGAAAGGAGAGGGCAAGGCUGGUGCCAGCCGCCGCGGUAAAACCAGCUCUUCAAGUGGUCGGGAUAAUUAUUGGGCUUAAAGUAUCCGUAGCCGGUUUAGUAAGUUCCUGGUAAAAUCGGGUAGCUUAACUAUCUAUAUGCUAGGAAUACUACUAUACUAGAGGGCGGGAGAGGUCUGAGGUACUGCAGGGGUAGGGGUGAAAUCUUAUAAUCCUUGUUGGACCACCAGUGGCGAAGGCGUCAGACUGGAACGCGCCUGACGGUGAGGGACGAAAGCCAGGGGAGCGAACCGGAUUAGAUACCCGGGUAGUCCUGGCCGUAAACGAUGCAUACUAGGUGAUGGCACGGCCAUGAGCCGUGUCAGUGCCGUAGGGAAACCGUUAAGUGUGCCGCCUGGGAAGUACGGUCGCAAGGCUAAAACUUAA